This 253-nucleotide ribosomal RNA is filed under the name uncultured bacterium. RNAcentral describes it as "partial 16S ribosomal RNA". It matches the Rfam family "Bacterial small subunit ribosomal RNA", at positions 524 to 776 of the family's 1533-position model. The record is from RNAcentral.
UACGAGAGGCCCAAACGUUAUUCGGAUUUACUGGGCUUAAAGAGUUCGUAGGCGGUUUGGUAAGUGGGGUGUGAAAGCCCUCGGCUCAACCGAGGAAUUGCGCUCCAAACUGCCAGACUCGAGGGAGAUAGAGGUGAGCGGAACUGAUGGUGGAGCGGUGAAAUGCGUUGAUAUCAUCAGGAACACCAGAGGCGAAGGCGGCUCACUGGGUCUUUUCUGACGCUGAGGAACGAAAGCUAGGGGAGCAAACGGG